CAGGUCAAUAUGGAAACUUUCAAGGCAGUUGAGGUCACCUGGGGUCCCUGAAGAUUAAUUUUCAAGCAAUUGGGGUCAUGCAGAGUUCAGUCAGGGUGAGGAUGAGACCAUGCAGGUCAGCUGAGGACAUGGACACUCAAACUCAGUGUAGUGCGGGGGUUACAAACAGGUCAAUAUGGUUACUUUCAAGGCACUUGGGGUCACCUGGGGUCACUGAGGAUUAAUUUUCAAGCCAUUGGGGUCAUUCAGAGUUCAAUCAGGGUUAGGAUGAGACCAUGAAGGUCAUCUGAGGACACGGACCCUGCAGCUCAAUGUAGUGGGGGUCACAGACAUAUCAAUGUUCAAACUUUCAAGGCAGUUGGGGGUCACCUGGGGUCACUGAGGAUUACUUUUCAAGCAAUUGGGGUCAUGCAGAGUUCAGUCAUGCUGAGGAUGAGAUCCUGCAGGUCAUCUGAGGACAAGGACUCUCAAGCUAAAUGUAAUGGGGGUCACAGACUGGUCAAUGUUGAAACUUUCAAGGCAGUUGGGGUUACUUAGGGUCACUGAGGAUGCAUUUACAAGCAAUUGAGGUCAUGCAGAGUUUAAUCAGAGUGAGGAUGAGCCCAUACAGGUUAUAUAAGGACACGGACUCUCAAGCUCAAUGUAGUCAGGGUGACAGAGAGGUCAAUGUGGAAAGUUUCAAGACACUUGGGGUCACUGAGGAUGGAUUUACAAACAAUUCGGGUCAUGCAGAGUUCAAUCAAGUGAGGAUGAGACACUGCAGGUCAUAUGAGGACAUGGACUCUGCAGCUCAGUAGUGGGGAGUCACAGACAGGUCAAUGUGGAAACUUGAAAGGCAUUUUGGGUCACUUAGACUGAAUUUAUAAGUAAUUGGGGUCAUGCAGCAUUCAAUCAGGGUGAGGAUGGGACCAUGCAGGUCAUCUGAGGACACGGACUCUCAAGCUCAAUGUAAUUGGGGGGGUCACAGACAGGUCAAUGUGGUUACUUUCAAGGCAGUUGUUGUCACCUAGGGUGACUGAGGAUGCUGUGGAAGCAACUGGGGUUAUGCAGAGUUCAAUCAGGGUGAGGAUGAGACUAUGCAGGUCAUCUGAGGACACGGACUCUCAAGCUCAGUGUAGUGGGGGGGUCACAAACAGGUCAAUGUGGUUACUUUCAAGGCAGAUGGGGGUCGCCUGGCGUCACUGAGGAUGAAUUUUCAAGCAGUUGGGGUGAUUCAUAGUUCAUUCAGGGUGAAGAUGAGACCAUGCAGGUCAUCUGAGGACACGGACCCUGCAGCUCUAUGUAGUGUGGGUCACAGAGAAGUCAAUGUGGAAACUUUAAAGGCAGUUGUGAUCACCUAGGGUCACUGAGGAUACAUUUACCAGCAAUUGGGGUUAUGCAGAGUUCAAUGAAGGUGCUGUUGAGACUAUGCAGGUCAUCUGAGUAAAUGGACCUUCAAGCUCAAUGUUGUGGGAUUCACAGACAGGUCAAUGUGGUUUCUUUCUAGGCAUUUGGGGUCACUGAGGAUGCAUUUACAAUCAAUUGGAUUCAUGAAGAGUUCAGUCAGUGUGAGGAUUAAGCUAAGGAAGUCAUCCAAGGACACAAACACUCAGGCUGAAUGUUGUGGGGCUCACAGGUCAAUGUGGAAACAUUUCUAGGCAAUAGGGGUCUGCUGAGGUCAUUGAGGAUGAAUUUGCAGGCAAUUGGGCUCUUGGAGAUAUCAUAUAGAGUAAGACUCAAGCCAGGGAGGUCAUCCAAGGACACAGACACUCAGGCCGAAUGUGGUGGGAGUCACACCGAGGUCAGUGUGCAACAAUUUCAAGUGGGUUCCUAGUUGACGACAGUAUUUGUUCUCUAGUGUUGGUGCCUUCAUUAGUGUGCGGCUGCCUUCUCAAAGUUA
Molecule: long non-coding RNA, 1879 nt
Organism: Gopherus flavomarginatus (Mexican gopher tortoise)
Lineage: Eukaryota; Metazoa; Chordata; Testudines; Testudinidae
Exons: 3
Source: RefSeq, a predicted model, not a curated record